AAUCUAAUUUAAGUGCCAUUUUGAUAUUUUUGUCGAUUACAAAACACCGCAAUGGAUUGCGACAGAAAUUGUGGAUUGGUAUGUCUCAUGGGAAAUCGUACAGAAAAUGUCAAAAACGCGUUCUGUACGGCAGGCGAAUUCGAUAAUAACAAAAAAUAUACGAUGCCGAUCAAAAAAAUUUAAAUUUCGGGACAAAUAAGAAAUGCUUUGAGGCCUUCUGCAAGAGCUGAGGAAUCAUCUUAAAGUAACUUCCCUUCUUAAAGUAUCUUUUUAUUUAAAUUUUUGGUCUUUUUAAGUACAAUGUAAAUGAUGUAAAAGCAUCCGAGCCAACUUAUGACGAUGGUAAUUGGUAAAACAAAUUUGUACGAAUAAAUAUUUCCAGCUGGAAUUAGGACACUCAAUGUCGUUGGUUCAUU
Long non-coding RNA from Culicoides brevitarsis, 416 nucleotides. RefSeq lists it as uncharacterized. The transcript is spliced from 2 exons. The record is from RefSeq and is a predicted model, not a curated record. Lineage: Eukaryota; Metazoa; Arthropoda; Insecta; Diptera; Ceratopogonidae.